UCGUGUAACCGUGUACGACUAAGUUCCAAAUGUAAACAAACACUUUGGUGGUGCUGGUGAUUCUAGGCAGCAGCCAGGAAUCGGACGCGAAAACCUUCGUGAGCCAAACAGCAGCAGCGGAACGCCUUCGAAGGAGGGUGGUGCGGGUGCGGGACGAGGAUGGGAGGUAGGAAUGUGGAUUCGCACCGGUUGUAUUCGGUGGUGGUGGCCCGGGAUUGGUGAUUGAAGGUCAAUUCCCGCGAGGACUGUAACGAGAUCAUCAAGGAGAUAAUGCUGCCGAAGAGUUGCGUGAACAACGAGAUUGCGUUGAAGAAGAUAAACAUCUGGUUUUUGGACAAGUACGAGACAGGUGAUUUUCACGGUGAGGAGAAGGAGCCGACGAAGAGGAGGACGUCGAGAAGCGGGAUAAUCGGAGGUAGCCAGAGCGGAUGUUGCACUCGGUGCCGGCGGUUUACAACACCUCUCCAGCCGAAUGAACCCUGGACAGCGUGCCGAAAAAAUCGGGUCUCCUACGAAAGGCCGAAUCUCAAAUGGCCGAAUCCCGAAAGGCCGAAAUUCAAAAGGCCGAAUUACUCGAAAGGCAGAAUUCUCAUAAGGCCGAAUCCCAAAAGGCUGACUUCGUUUGUAAUGCGUUUCCGCCUUUUAGUGCGCGGUUUGCUGUUAUUAUUUUUAUAAAUUAUAGUUAUGUAAUAAACAUUGGUUUUGAAAUAAAGAAGGCAUAACUUUCUAGCAUUGCUGAUAACUAAAUUUUAAAAGUUUCAAUUUAUUAAAAGUUACAAAAAAUUAAUUGUAAUUAUUUGAAUUCAUUUAAGUACUUGGUGACGAAUGAUGAAAUUUCGGUUAUCGUCACCAUAACUCAAUAAACAACAAGAUUGAAAAACUUUUGAAAUGCUUUAAUUCAUUUUACUCUACUCACUUGUAUGCAUGGUAGCAAUAUGAUCGGUAAAGAUAAACAGAAUGUACUCAUUAUGUACUAAUUUCGCUUAAAAUUAUAUAAAAGAACACAGUUUGUAAGUUUACUUUAUCUUUGAAUAUCAUAAUCAAUGAAAAUCAUGAAAAUAUGAACAAAAUUCUGAAUUCCAUAAUCAUUCUGCCUUUCGAGACAUUCGGCCUCUUGAGACGUUCUGCCUUCUGGGCAAAAGACAAAAUUCGGCCUUUUGAAUUUCGGCCUUCCGAGAUUCUGCCUUUUGAGUUUCAGCCUUUUGAGGCAAUCCCAAAAAAUCUGUGUCAUUCUCGAAGGAGGAUGAAGUGCUCGAAAUCGAAUUCCGUUCCGAGGGCCUCAUCAACCCAAUCUUCCGGAUGCGCUUCCAGAAUCGUGAACUCCCCGUUCAGGCACUUCACUUUCCAGCCAGGAAACGUCGCUCACCCUCAAUAUCCUUUUUUUAUUUCUCGAUCGAAAUGUUAGGUAUAAAGAGAGAUGUGAGCUGGUAACAUGGAGUUAAACUUUCGCAACUGUCAUGGUAAACUUCACAGCUGCUUAAAAUAAAGUUUAACUCCAUGUUUUAAUUUUUCGAUAGAACGUUUUGUAAAAGAUAGCGAGAUAUGUAUUUAAGACGAUCUUUUAUGUGUUAAUCGAAUAAUGUUCAACAAAUGAGUUAAUUCUCCUUGAUGUGUCACACCUCAUUUAAUCGUCCACCUUUGCCUUGACAAUCUGUAAUGGAAACCCUAUUCCGACCAACGUUGACAAAUUAUUUUAUGGGAAAUCUGUAUUUUCUUAAAAAUAAUUCUGUAUUUUAUCUGUAUCAUGUCAAAUUCGAAGCAAUAGAGGAUUUUUUUAGACUUUUCACAACAGAUUUAAGCUUUUUAAUCAUAUUAAAGCAUAAUUCAAUUACUAAAUUAUUGAAAUUUUCAAAUUAAAUCAUAUUUAAAAAAUCUGUUUAUACAGAUUUUUGUGAUUUUUGGGAUCAAAAAUCUGUAUAAUACAGAUUUAUCUGUAUAUCUGGCAUGGCUGAUUCCGACCAAACACCGAAAAUCCAAAUAACACAGAUCUGUGUAAAAUUUGACACAGAUCGCUCAAAACCUGGAAUACACAGAAUCUGUGUAAAAGCCUUGUACACAGAACUGUGUACAACCGUUGUCUGUCAAAUCUGUGUAAAAUUUUACACAGAUUCUGGGUAAAAUAUUA
Molecule: long non-coding RNA, 2125 nt
Organism: Culex pipiens pallens (northern house mosquito)
Lineage: Eukaryota; Metazoa; Arthropoda; Insecta; Diptera; Culicidae
Exons: 3
Source: RefSeq, a predicted model, not a curated record